Molecule: long non-coding RNA, 4093 nt
Organism: Amphiprion ocellaris (clown anemonefish)
Lineage: Eukaryota; Metazoa; Chordata; Actinopteri; Pomacentridae
Source: Ensembl
CAGAGAUUUAAUAUUCAGGCUUUUACUCUCCAUAAAUCACUUCAUUAGACAUUUAUUUCCUCCAACUUGACUUCUAUCUGCAGUCAAAUUGAUAUAGCUUUAUUCUCUUGUACAUUAUAUAUAUCAUACUAAAAUAAACACAAGUUUAAAAAAUGAACAAAGAAACUGUACAAAAAAAUGUAUAUAUACUACAUCUUAAUUACAGAACAGUCUACUGUCCAAAAAAGGCACUAAAUUCUGAAAUGGGCGAUACAGUAACUGUGAACAUAAUAGAUUGGAGAUUGAUACGACAGUGUUCAGUCCUCUUUUCUGAGCUAUAUGGGAUGAGGCGGAAACACGAAGGACAUGUAGACAUGUUGACCCUGACACCACCACACCAGAGGACCUUCAGAAAGCGACCAACAAAAACCUCCUUCAGUCAGUCCCAGGUUCUUCUAUCUGAGGGUUUCUUUUUCCAACGUUUCCCCAUCGAGCUCACAUAAAUACUUCUGGAUUAAAACUCGCUAAUUGGGCAUCGAAGGCAGUUCAUUUAAAAGUGUCUUUUAGUGAGAGAAUAAUCUCUAAAUGCACUCUUUGUACUCUUUUUUCCCCCCACGCAUGACUGAUUUUUCUGAACGUACAACAUUCUCAGUAUGGGAACGUCACACCGAACUCCAGAGAAAAACCCAAAAAAUAGAAAAACACAGUUCAACUGGUAACUUCCAGGUGUGUUUUAUCUUAAAUACGCUUUGUAAAGCUGCGAUGUGCUCAUAUUUGUAGAUAUUAAGUUUUAACCCUCGUGUCGUCCUGUGGGUCAAAACUGACCUGUUUUAAAGUUUGAAAAUGUGGAGAAAAAAAUAUAUUUUCACAGUGAAACUUCUGAUGUGCACAUUUUCAACAUUUUUGGAAAAUCUUUGAACAUUUUUUGGUGGAAAAAAAGGAAUUUCUUAAGAACAUUCACAUAAAUUUUUAAGGAAUUAUUGGAAUUUUCUUCCUGAAGGUUUGGCAAAUUUUCAGAAAUUUGGGGAACUUCUGUGCAGAAUUUUUUUCAGACAAGGAAACAAUAUUUUUUUGGUGCCUGUAAAUGAAGACAACAGGAGGGUUAAAGAGCAGUUCGCCUCAUUAUUUAACUGUUAGGCAGAAAACAGCAAAUUCUAUGAAAAACCAUGAUGAAAACACAUUUGUUUCUAAUAGAAGGUUAAAACUGGGCUAUUAUUUACAAAUAAUUUAACUUUAAUCCACUAUUCUUCUGAGAUAUUUUUGUGCAAUAAAAAGGCAGAUUUCACCGUGGAGUUUGGCGUUGUUUUACUGGGCCUGAUUUCUGGUGAUUUAUUGUGAAGCAGCUGAACUGAAAUGUUUUUUUUCCACACCAGCCCGUUGUUGUACGUUGUCGUCAUGGGGGAACAGAGGCGUUUACAUUUCAAGCUUAGUCAACAGCAAUACUUAAUUUUCAUAAGGUGCAUCACAUCGUUCAUAAAAUCUCUUCCUACCUCGGGUACAAAUAGGAGGGGGACUGUUGUUCAGUAGAAUAAGGGAUGACAAGAAUAAAAUAAAAUAGAAAGUCAGGAGAAAUUAAAACAAUUCAACAAUAAAGCUUGUUUCAUUUUAAAACAUAUGUCAUUCUUUUUUUUUUUUUUGUACAUUACCAUAAAAAAUGAGUAUAAAUACAUAUAGUUUCAGGUCCCAGCUGUGCAGCGGUGGGUUUAAAUAGAGCUUUAGCUGACUGGGAGGUAUCAGACCAGCAGGAACCAGGAGAGAACAGCUUUAAAACACUUUGAGUGUAACAGGUUGAGAUUCCGGCGUCCACAUCGGACCAUUUCAUGAGGUUUGUGGUUGGGUUUAACCUGCUGGGUAGAAUACUGUCCCAGUUCUCCAAAACCAACACUCAGGCAGAGAUUCCUUCAGAAGGAACGUUUCUGGGAGAAGAGUUCAAUGAGAAGAUGGAUGCCUCCAUCACGACUAGAUGAAGCUGGUUAGAUCCUGGAGGCAGGUCCACCUCAGAACCACCAGCUCACUGCUUAUUACACUGGAUUUGUGUGUUUAAUGCAAAAUAGGAACUGGAGAAACUAUUUAAUGUUCGUUUUAGCUUAGCAUAAAACUCCUUCAAGCUCCUUAGGUGAAACAUAAUGAGGUCACUGUGACCAAAAAAUACUCAAACCGCUUUAAAAACCCAAACUAAACUUUACAUUAAGGCCCUCUGAAGCCCAACAGUCACAGGCAAAAAAACACACAACAGUCUGUAAUGAUUGACUCAGAUGUAGCUAACAGUCAUUUUAAAUAUUCAGCUGAAGUGCAGGCUGUGUUCAAGCAGAUAAAUGAUGAUAAAAGUACGGAAACAAACUAAAGAUGGAAGCAGUAAAACAUCUAUCAUAUGUAGUAUUGCUAACAUAAAUUAUCAGUAAAAGUCUGGAUUUUCUCAUUCAGUGCUUUUUAUUUAUUUGCAUUAUUUCCUACAUUAAUACUUAAGAUUAACACUUUAUUGUUUACUACAUAGUUCAUAUGUGUUCAUUCAUGGAUUUGAUGUCUUUAGUAUUAAUCUAAAAUGUUUAAAAUACAAAUAAAAACCACUGAAUGAGAACGUUAAAACAGAUUUCUGAGUGUCUCUGCUCCUGGUCAUGGUUGUGCUGUUCCCAUAGAGCUGCAGGAUUAAAUAUCAGUGAAAAAUGAGCCCACAGUGAGUAAAAACGAGACCGGAGCAAGAAAAAUACCGAGAAACUGCUUCAAGUUCAGAACGUUAAUGAAUGUUGAAGAUGCUAGGAGACUGGAUGGUUGUUCUCCAGCUUCUAGUCUUGUAGCUAAAGUCCUUGUAGUCAAGUCACCUUAAAAAUUAUUUUGGGCUAAAAGACGAGGCUCCGGUUGAAAUGAAUCUGGAGCCAUGAUUGUAAUUUCAGUGGUCAACGAGAUAAAUCAGAUAAAAACGUUUGAAAGGUUUGGUAAGGUUUAAAAGGCGGUUCUUUUCCCUACAGACGCAGUUCGCUUGUUACAGAGCAGAUCAUGGAUUUUAACUGAACAUGCUUCACCAACCACUAUCUUUGGCAUUAAGGAUCCUAAAGAGAAGAAUUCUUUAAGAGGUGAUUCUCCUUUAACGUGUCAGAGACCAGCAUCUUCUCAUGGAACUCUAGAAGUGAACAAUCUGAUUUCCCAUUAUUGUGAUUUCUCCACCCUAAAGUCAGAUUUAUGGACGUCAGUCACCAAUAAAAUGAAUCUGUGCCUUUAGUGCCCCGUAUAGAACAUCAUGACUUUCAGCCAGAGAUGGUUUUGGAAAAGUUCCAUUCAACAAAAAUGAUACCAACAAACAGUGGAAAAUAAAGUCUAAUAUCACCACUUUACAUAUCUUUGAUUGGGAUUCCCUUCACGGUGAUGAUUUGACCUUUGAGGCUAUAUAGAUACUGAUUUUAAAAAUUUCUGAUAAUCUUAACCAUUUCCAGUGGAUUUAGUCUAAUUAGAUAUUUAAAAAAGCUCAUUAUUUAGGCUAAUAUAAAGAGGCAGCGUUCACGUAGUAAAUAUCUCUGCGGUAUUUCUGGUAACAUCUGUACCGACAGGCCUGCUGUAGCGUCCAGGCUUCAGAAACCUGCCAAAGGAGUCGCUUUGGAUCAACACCUUUCAGAUCAGUCUUAGCUUAGCGUUUUAGCAUCUUUUCCUUUGGCAUGGAUGACAUAAAAAAAUUUUAAAAAACAAAAAAAAACCAAAAAAAAAGCACAUUUCCCCUUAUUAGAUAGCUUAGAAACUUUGAUUAUCACAUUGAUCCUAAAUUGAUCCUCUCAGCCUGAAUAGCGUCACGGAGAGCUGGAGAGAAAAAGCAGAAGGACUGUUGAUCCAGAAACCGGAGAGAAACUAAACCAGAUCUGUUGAUCCAGACUCCGGAUAGAAACUAAACCAGAUCUGUUGAUCCAGAAACCGGAUAGAAACUAAACCAGAUCUGUUGAUCCAGAAACCGGACAGAAACUAAACCAGAUCUGUUGAUCCAGAAACCGGAUAGAAACUAAACCAGAUCUGUUGAUCCAGACUCCGGAUAGAAACUAAACCAGAUCUGUUGAUCCAGAAACCGGAUAGAAACUAAACCAGAUCUGUUGAUCCAGAAACCGGAUAGAAACUAAACCAGAGCUGUUGAUCC